CCUACGGGCGGCUGCAGUGAGGAAUAUUGGUCAAUGGGCGAGAGCCUGAACCAGCCAAGUCGCGUGAGGGAAGACGGUCCUAUGGAUUGUAAACCUCUUUUGCCGGGGAGCAAACAGCGGUACGUGUACCGCAUCGAGAGUACCCUGCGAACAAGCAUCGGCUAACUCCGUGCCAGCAGCCGCGGUAAUACGGAGGAUGCGAGCGUUCUCCGGAUUUAUUGGGUUUAAAGGGUGCGCCGGCGGCGCGUUAAGUCAGCGGUAAAAUUUCGUGGCUCAACCCCGACAAGCCGUUGAAGCUGGCUGGCUAGAGGGGGCGAGAAGUAUGCGGAAUGCGUGGUGUAGCGGUGAAAUGCAUAGAUAUCACGCAGAACUCCGAUUGCGAAGGCAGCAUACCGGCGCCCAACUGACGCUCAGGCACGAAAGCGUGGGUAUCGAACAGGAUUAGAUACCCCAGUAGUC
RNAcentral lists this ribosomal RNA (459 nucleotides) under uncultured bacterium. Its description in RNAcentral is "partial 16S ribosomal RNA". It matches the Rfam family "Bacterial small subunit ribosomal RNA", at positions 338 to 795 of the family's 1533-position model. The record is from RNAcentral.